GUGCUCAACCUUCAUCCCAAAAAUCAAAUGCUAACAAUAAUUUUAAGUCAUAAAACUAAAAUCAAUAAAAAAAGUGUGUUAAAAUGGACCAGUUAGAAUAAGUAAUUAAAAUAAAAUAUUAAUAUUAAAAAAUACGAAAAUAAAAAUUAUAUAAAAUUAAGUAAAACGUUAAGAAAAGUGAAAAAUAUUUUUGGGUAAUUUUAUGGAUGAAGAAAAUAUUUUAAA
Molecule: long non-coding RNA, 225 nt
Filed under: Lathyrus oleraceus (garden pea)
Lineage: Eukaryota; Viridiplantae; Streptophyta; Magnoliopsida; Fabales; Fabaceae
Description: Pisum sativum (pea) long non-coding RNA (PSAT_LNC012185)
Source: RNAcentral